GGGUUGUGAGGUUAAGCGACUAAGCGUACACGGUGGAUGCCCUGGCAGUCAGAGGCGAUGAAGGACGUGCUAAUCUGCGAAAAGCGCCGGCGAGGUGAUAUGAACCUUUGACCCGGCGAUGUCCGAAUGGGGAAACCCAGUGCAAUCCGUUGCACUAUCGUUAACUGAAUACAUAGGUUAACGAGGCGAACCGGGGGAACUGAAACAUCUAAGUACCCCGAGGAAAAGAAAUCAACCGAGAUUCCCCCAGUAGCGGCGAGCGAACGGGGAGCAGCCCGGAGUCUGAAUCAGCUUGUGUGUUAGUGGAACGGUCUGGAAAGUCCGACGGUACAGGGUGAUAGUCCCGUACACGAAAGCACACUUGCUGUGAACUCGAAGAGUAGGGCGGGACACGUGGUAUCCUGUCUGAAUAUGGGGGGACCAUCCUCCAAGGCUAAAUACUCCUGACUGACCGAUAGUGAACCAGUACCGUGAGGGAAAGGCGAAAAGAACCCCGGCGAGGGGAGUGAAAAAGAACCUGAAACCGUGUACGUACAAGCAGUGGGAGCCUCUUUAUGGGGUGACUGCGUACCUUUUGUAUAAUGGGUCAGCGACUUAUAUUCUGUAGCAAGGUUAACCGUAUAGGGGAGCCGAAGGGAAACCGAGUCUUAACUGGGCGUUAAGUUGCAGGGUAUAGACCCGAAACCCGGUGAUCUAGCCAUGGGCAGGUUGAAGGUUGGGUAACACUAACUGGAGGACCGAACCGACUAAUGUUGAAAAAUUAGCGGAUGACCUGUGGCUGGGGGUGAAAGGCCAAUCAAACCGGGAGAUAGCUGGUUCUCCCCGAAAGCUAUUUAGGUAGCGCCUCGUGAACUCAUCUUCGGGGGUAGAGCACUGUUUCGGCUAGGGGGCCAUCCCGGCUUACCAACCCGAUGCAAACUACGAAUACCGAAGAAUGUUAUCACGGGAGACACACGGCGGGUGCUAACGUCCGUCGUGAAGAGGGAAACAACCCAGACCGCCAGCUAAGGUCCCAAAGUCAUGGUUAAGUGGGAAACGAUGUGGGAAGGCACAGACAGCCAGGAUGUUGGCUUAGAAGCAGCCAUCAUUUAAAGAAAGCGUAAUAGCUCACUGGUCGAGUCGGCCUGCGCGGAAGAUGUAACGGGGCUAAACCAUGCACCGAAGCUGCGGCAGCGACACUAUGUGUUGUUGGGUAGGGGAGCGUUCUGUAAGCCGUUGAAGGUGUGCUGUGAGGCAUGCUGGAGGUAUCAGAAGUGCGAAUGCUGACAUAAGUAACGAUAAAGCGGGUGAAAAGCCCGCUCGCCGGAAGACCAAGGGUUCCUGUCCAACGUUAAUCGGGGCAGGGUGAGUCGACCCCUAAGGCGAGGCCGAAAGGCGUAGUCGAUGGGAAACAGGUUAAUAUUCCUGUACUUGGUGUUACUGCGAAGGGGGGACGGAGAAGGCUAUGUCAGCCGGGCGACGGUUGUCCCGGUUUAAGCAUGUAGGCGGAGGUUCCAGGUAAAUCCGGUACCUUAUUAACGCUGAGGUGUGAUGACGAGGCACUACGGUGCUGAAGUGAUAAAUGCCCUGCUUCCAGGAAAAGCCUCUAAGCAUCAGGUAACACGAAAUCGUACCCCAAACCGACACAGGUGGUCAGGUAGAGAAUACCAAGGCGCUUGAGAGAACUCGGGUGAAGGAACUAGGCAAAAUGGUGCCGUAACUUCGGGAGAAGGCACGCUGAU
Molecule: ribosomal RNA, 1721 nt
Filed under: Enterobacter hormaechei
Lineage: Bacteria; Pseudomonadati; Pseudomonadota; Gammaproteobacteria; Enterobacterales; Enterobacteriaceae
Description: bacterial LSU rRNA
Rfam family: Bacterial large subunit ribosomal RNA
Source: RNAcentral